This 300-nucleotide ribosomal RNA is filed under the name uncultured thermophilic aerobic biofilm eubacterium SCBP-A8. RNAcentral describes it as "bacterial SSU rRNA". It matches the Rfam family "Bacterial small subunit ribosomal RNA", at positions 192 to 493 of the family's 1533-position model. The record is from RNAcentral.
UUCUGUUGAUUAAAGCUCCGGCGGUUAGAGAUGGGCAUGCGUACCAUUAGCUAGUUGGUGAGGUAACGGCUCACCAAGGCUACGAUGGUUAGGGGGUCUGAGAGGAUGAUCCCCCACACUGGUACUGAGACACGGACCAGACUCCUACGGGAGGCAGCAGUGAGGAAUAUUGGUCAAUGGGCGAAAGCUGAACCAGCCAUGCCGCGUGAAGGAUGAAGGCCCUCAGGGUUGUAAACUUCUUUUGUACGGGACGAAACCCUUGAACGUGUUCGAGGCUGACGGUACCGUACGAAUAAGCAA